AUUGAACGCUGGCGGCAUGCCUUACACAUGCAAGUCGAACGGCAGCACGGGAGUAAUCCUGGUGGCGAGUGGCGAACGGGUGAGUAAUAUAUCGGAACGUGCCCAGUCGUGGGGGAUAACGCAGCGAAAGCUGUGCUAAUACCGCAUACGAUCUACGGAUGAAAGCGGGGGAUCGCAAGACCUCGCGCGAUUGGCGCGGCCGAUAUCAGAUUAGCUAGUUGGUGGGGUAAAGGCCCACCAAGGCGACGAUCUGUAGCUGGUCUGAGAGGACGACCAGCCACACUGGAACUGAGACACGGUCCAGACUCCUACGGGAGGCAGCAGUGGGGAAUUUUGGACAAUGGGCGCAAGCCUGAUCCAGCAAUGCCGCGUGCAGGAUGAAGGCCUUCGGGUUGUAAACUGCUUUUGUACGGAACGAAACGGCCCUUUCUAAUACAGGGGGCUAAUGACGGUACCGUAAGAAUAAGCACCGGCUAACUACGUGCCAGCAGCCGCUGUAA
Molecule: ribosomal RNA, 500 nt
Filed under: uncultured bacterium
Lineage: Bacteria
Description: partial 16S ribosomal RNA
Rfam family: Bacterial small subunit ribosomal RNA
Source: RNAcentral